AGCGAACGCUGGCGGCAGGCUUAACACAUGCAAGUCGAGCGCCCGUAGCAAUACGGGAGCGGCAGACGGGUGAGUAACACGUGGGAACGUGCCUUUCGGUUCGGAACAACCCAGGGAAACUUGGGCUAAUACCGGAUACGCCCUUACGGGGAAAGAUUUAUCGCCGAAAGAUCGGCCCGCGUCUGAUUAGCUAGUUGGUGGGGUAAUGGCUCACCAAGGCGACGAUCAGUAGCUGGUCUGAGAGGAUGAUCAGCCACACUGGGACUGAGACACGGCCCAGACUCCUACGGGAGGCAGCAGUGGGGAAUCUUGGACAAUGGGCGCAAGCCUGAUCCAGCCAUGCCGCGUGAGUGAUGAAGGCCCUAGGGUUGUAAGCUCUUUCGGCGGGAAGAUAAUGACGGUACCCGCAGAAGAAGCCCCGGCUAACUUCGUGCCAGCCGCCGCGGUAAC
Molecule: ribosomal RNA, 450 nt
Filed under: uncultured bacterium
Lineage: Bacteria
Description: bacterial SSU rRNA
Rfam family: Bacterial small subunit ribosomal RNA
Source: RNAcentral